Molecule: ribosomal RNA, 189 nt
Filed under: uncultured groundwater bacterium 101572
Lineage: Bacteria
Description: partial 16S ribosomal RNA
Rfam family: Bacterial small subunit ribosomal RNA
Source: RNAcentral
CCUACGGGAGGCAGCAGUAAGGAAUAUUGGUCAAUGGACGAAAGUCUGAACCAGCCAUGCCGCGUGAAGGAUUAAGGUCCUCUGGAUUGUAAACUUCUUUUAUAUGGGACGAAAAAAGGUCUUUCUAGAUCCCUUGACGGUACCAUAUGAAUAAGCACCGGCUAACUCCGCGCCAGCAGCCGCGGUAAU